RNAcentral lists this ribosomal RNA (254 nucleotides) under uncultured bacterium. Its description in RNAcentral is "partial 16S ribosomal RNA". It matches the Rfam family "Bacterial small subunit ribosomal RNA", at positions 524 to 776 of the family's 1533-position model. The record is from RNAcentral.
UACAGAGGUCUCAAGCGUUGUUCGGAUUUAUUGGGCGUAAAGAGCUCGUAGGCGGUUUGGUAAGUCGGGUGUGAAAGCUCCGGGCUCAACUCGGAGAGGUCACUCGAUACUGCCAUGACUGGAGUCCGGUAGGGGGGUGUGGAAUUCCCAGUGUAGCGGUGAAAUGCGCAGAUAUUGGGAGGAACACCAAUGGCGAAGGCAGCACCCUGGGCCGGUACUGACGCUGAGGAGCGAAAGCGUGGGGAGCAAACAGG